This is an RNA transcript of Haliaeetus leucocephalus (bald eagle), 3340 nucleotides long. It is a transcript of the gene named prothymosin, alpha, with no coding region annotated. The record is from RefSeq and is a predicted model, not a curated record. Lineage: Eukaryota; Metazoa; Chordata; Aves; Accipitriformes; Accipitridae. The transcript is spliced from 4 exons.
GGGCUGCCGGGCCUUUCUGCCGGGAUCCUGCCCUCUGCCGCGGUCCCUCCCCGUCGAGAGCAGCCGCUCCGCGGGCAGUUGCUGGCGCCCCGGGAGCUGAGCGGGAGAGAAGGUAGAGCUUCCCCGGGCAGUUGGUGUAUGACUAAACACCAUUGCUAUUUUAUGGACAAACAGCCUCGCCACACCUAUAAUUAGAGGCUCUGUCAAAGCUUUGGAGCUAAAGCAGUCCUGCUGCACGGACUCCUGGUCUGGAGGCUGCUGUAGACAUCUGUCUGUUUGUAUUGGACUGGGCCUGGGGAAAGGGAGAAGCUGUGGUCCUCUCUGCAACCCUGUUGCUAGCACAAACUUCAUGACCUGGCAUCCUGAUGGUCGUUAAACUGAGAGCGUCUUCAGUGGUGCGGGAAAGGUCAGGGCUGGAGAUCCGUCCAGCUAAAAUCCCCAAGAAUGCGUUGCUCCUUUGCCGGGAGGAUUGCUUACGUUUUGUGAACGGCUCCUUUUGAAAAGAACCGUUGGGCUUAGUGAGAUGUGGAAACUCUGACUGCUCGAUCUGCUCCGUGUUUAACUUAGGAAAUGCUUUUGUCGCCCUCAUGCCCAUGUGCCUGAUGUGAGGCAGUGGCUGCAGAACGCAGCAGCGCGAUGGUGCGUGAGCAGUUAAGUGGUUGUGAUCAGCCUCCAGGGAAUAGCGGGAGCCGCUGACAGUGUAAAACUGUGCUGGAAUUGGGCAGUGUGGAGGAGAUGGCCUGGGAGUUGUAUGUCAGCAGUGAAGGAAGGAGGGAGCUUGUGUUUUUGUUUUACCCCAGGCUCCUGGGAUGCUGGUUUGAUUAGGUGAGGUUUGAUCAACAGGUGUAGCUGCCCCAAAGCUUGCUUCCAAAGAAAGUCUUUCCUCGCUGCACUGGCAGCCUGGGUGCCUCUGCUAAUGGCAUCUGUGCGUGCCUGUCUGGGUCUGAGUGGUUUAAGUAACCUGGUGGCCUAAAACCCCCGCGUUGUCUUGCCGAAGCAGCCUGCAGGGUAGUAGAAACCCUCCUGAAACAGGAGCAGUGGCCAUGCUAGCAGGGCCAGGGCCACGCUCUUACCCACUGGUGUUUCCACGAGGAAGUGACAGUGGCUCAGCGGGAGUGAAAGUGCCCGCUCGCUGUGGGCUGCGAGGCAGCCGCAAAGGGCAGGUGGGAGGGGGGCAAAGCUGCUUGCUGCUGCAGCGAAGUAGGGAGCUGCCAGCAACUUUGAAACACCUCGUGGUCGCUGCUGAAGCCGGCUGUGUGGCUGUGCUGCUGGCCCCGGGGAAGGGCCUCUCUGCUUUCCUUGGCUGGGGUAACGCUCCUUGUGCUGAAGGAUCUCGCUCCAGCUGAUGGAGGAACAGAAGGGGAGGAGGAUGCAAGCAGAGAUGCCAGUGUUAAAUCCAAGUGUUCUUUAUGCGGGAACAUAAAGUUGGAUCCUUUCAGCCUGUUUGCUGAGCGACUUGGCAUGACAUUUUGACAGUGAUCAAUAGCAAAAACACACAAACUCCCGCUCUCCUCUCGCUCUGCUCGCAGUGGAGAUUUGAACCGAACUAGCCAGGCACGGCUCUUGGAGCAGUGUAAAAAUAGACUUCUUCCCCCACCCCAUCCUGUUACACUUAAAGCUGCGAGCUGGAUACUGGAGUCUCCUCUGCCGCUGCGAGAAAGACCAGGCGUGUAAUAUUUGCCGUAUGAUUUUCCCCAGGCAGGGCAGAGACCACAGUCUCUGCUAAUGAGUUCCUGGGAUUUGUUCCUGCUGCGAAGGUACCGAGCAGCUGUGGAUGUCUGCAGCCCUGGGGCGGUGGAGCUCUUACGUUGGACAGGGCUGCUGGCUCUCCGUGGCAUUGCAGGAGCUUGCGUGGACUGUGCUAAGAUGGGCAAUCAGCCAGCUCUGCUGCUGUUGAGCAUAUGCAGACGGCCAGCUCUCUGUGUUUGGGAGCUCAGAGGUGAAACAGAGCAGUCUCUUUUUUAGAUAGCUGCUCUCUGGCAAGGCUGACUUGAAUUGAGAUUCACCCCCACGCUCUCCCGUUCCCAAGGAGGAGCCAGAAUGUGGCGACCAAAUUGCAGAGCAAAUCGGUGUGAAGAGAAACCAGCUCCCGCUCUCUCUUGGACUGUGUUUUUCACACCUGAUCUGCAGCUUCUAUGACCCAGGCACCUGGAAUUGGGGUGACUUCUCUGCUUUUGUGCUCCUUCCAGGAUCUAAAAGAGAAGAAGGAAGUUGUUGAAGAAACAGAAAAUGGCAGAGAUGCACCGGCCAACGGCAAUGCUUGUAUUUUUUUUAAGUGAUGUUUUGUCUUGCCAAGGAGAACGAGGAAAACGGAGAACAGGAGGCUGACAACGAAGUAGACGAAGAGGAAGAGGAAGGUGGUGAGGAAGAGGACGAGGAGGAAGAGGGUGAGGAAGAGGAUGGCGAUGAAGACGACGAAGCUGAGGGAGCCACAGGCAAACGGGCAGCCGAGGAUGACGAGGACGAUGACGUCGAUCCCAAGAAGCAGAAAACCGAUGAAGAUGACUAGGCAGCAAAUUAUUAUUAUUUUUUUUUUUAAAUAAGGAGGAAAACAAACCAACAAAAAAGGCCAGCGCGUCCUCUUCACCCUUGGGACCCCCCCUCCCCUCCCGUUGCAACCCCCUCCCCACACACACACGCACCCCCUUCCUCCCCCCUCCGCCGUGGUCAUCCUCACCAAGUAGAGUGAACCCCGUUCCCGGCCCCCCGGCGCGGCGCUGCCACUCAACGAACAUACGAAACGAUUCGCCUGUUAGCGGGGAGAGAACCCCCCCCUUCCCCCACAGACCCCCUCCCCCCCAAGCACCAAAACUUCAAGGCCCUGCUUUCUUUCUUAAAAGUACUUUAAAGGAGAAUUUGUUUGUAUUUUUUAUUUACAUUUUAUAUUUUUGUACAUAUUGUUAGGAGGUCCGCCAUUUUUAAGUGAUCUCGGAUUGACCAAAAGGGGGGCUUUGAAGUGUAUAUCUCUCUUGUUACCUAUCUCUGACUUUACUUGUGGUGUGACCAGGCCCAAACCAUUAUCUCAAAGGAGAAUAAAACAAAACCUUGUAAAAAAAUUAAAAAAAAAAAAAGACAAAAAUGCAAAAAAAAAAAAAAUUUACAAUCUUAUUCUGAGCAUUCCAGUAACUUUUUUUGUGUAUGUACUUUAGCUGUACCAUAGAUCGUGGUUUGUAUGAGGUGGCAAGGCCAAAGAUAAAAAGGUUUUCUUUUUUUUUUUUCUGUCUAUGAAGUUGCUGUUUAUUUUUAUUUUUUUCUUUUUUUUUGGCCUGUUUGAUGUAUGUGUGAAACAAUGUUGUCCAACAAUAAACCGGAAUUUUAUUUUGCUGAGUUGUCCUAACAA